Small nuclear RNA from Bison bison bison, 107 nucleotides. The record is from Ensembl. NCBI's taxonomy places the organism in Eukaryota, Metazoa, Chordata, Mammalia, Artiodactyla, Bovidae.
CUGAACAACUCUGACUCACUCAUACUAAAAUUAGAACAAUACAGAGAAGAUUAGCAUGACCCCUAGAUAAGGAGAACACACAAAUUCAUGAAACAUUUCAUUUUUUC